RNAcentral lists this transfer RNA (85 nucleotides) under uncultured bacterium. Its description in RNAcentral is "tRNA-Leu". It matches the Rfam family "tRNA". From Rfam's summary of the family: Transfer RNA (tRNA) molecules are approximately 80 nucleotides in length. Their secondary structure includes four short double-helical elements and three loops (D, anti-codon, and T loops). The record is from RNAcentral.
GCCGGGAUGGCGGAAUUGGCAGACGCGCUGGCUUUAAACCCCAGUGGCUUAGCCGUGAUGGGUUCGAGUCCCUCUCCCGGCACCA